GAUGAACGCUGGCGGCGUGCCUAAUACAUGCAAGUCGAGCGAACGGACGAGAAGCUUGCUUCUCUGAUGUUAGCGGCGGACGGGUGAGUAACACGUGGAUAACCUACCUAUAAGACUGGGAUAACUUCGGGAAACCGGAGCUAAUACCGGAUGAUAUUUUGAACCGCAUGGUUCAAAAGUGAAAGACGGUCUUGCUGUCACUUAUAGAUGGAUCCGCGCUGCAUUAGCUAGUUGGUAAGGUAACGGCUUACCAAGGCAACGAUGCAUAGCCGACCUGAGAGGGUGAUCGGCCACACUGGAACUGAGACACGGUCCAGACUCCUACGGGAGGCAGCAGUAGGGAAUCUUCCGCAAAGGGCGAAAGCCUGACGGAGCAACGCCGCGUGAGUGAUGAAGGUCUUCGGAUCGUAAAACUCUGUUAUUAGGGAAGAACAUAUGUGUAAGUAACUGUGCACAUCUUGACGGUACCUAAUCAAAAAGCCACGGCUAACUACGUG
Molecule: ribosomal RNA, 497 nt
Filed under: uncultured bacterium
Lineage: Bacteria
Description: partial 16S ribosomal RNA
Rfam family: Bacterial small subunit ribosomal RNA
Source: RNAcentral